RNAcentral lists this transfer RNA (74 nucleotides) under Oxalobacter formigenes. RNAcentral's name for it is "tRNA-Cys". It matches the Rfam family "tRNA". Rfam says of the family: Transfer RNA (tRNA) molecules are approximately 80 nucleotides in length. Their secondary structure includes four short double-helical elements and three loops (D, anti-codon, and T loops). The record is from RNAcentral. Lineage: Bacteria; Pseudomonadati; Pseudomonadota; Betaproteobacteria; Burkholderiales; Oxalobacteraceae. RNAcentral also lists the same sequence under 4 other names.
GGCAGGAUAGCAAAGUGGUUAUGCAGCGGCCUGCAAAGCCGUAGACGUCGGUUCGAUUCCGUCUCCUGCCUCCA